Molecule: transfer RNA, 85 nt
Filed under: Flavobacterium sp.
Lineage: Bacteria; Pseudomonadati; Bacteroidota; Flavobacteriia; Flavobacteriales; Flavobacteriaceae
Description: tRNA-Leu
Rfam family: tRNA
About the family: Transfer RNA (tRNA) molecules are approximately 80 nucleotides in length.
Source: RNAcentral
GCGGGUAUGGUGAAAUUGGUAGACACGCCAGACUUAGGAUCUGGUGCCGAAAGGUGUGAAGGUUCGAGUCCUUUUACCCGCACAA